UAAUCACAGAGGCUGCCAGAGUUCGUCUCC
RNAcentral lists this non-coding RNA (30 nucleotides) under Mus musculus (house mouse). Lineage: Eukaryota; Metazoa; Chordata; Mammalia; Rodentia; Muridae. The record is from RNAcentral.